RNAcentral lists this ribosomal RNA (244 nucleotides) under uncultured bacterium. RNAcentral's name for it is "partial small subunit ribosomal RNA". It matches the Rfam family "Bacterial small subunit ribosomal RNA", at positions 26 to 285 of the family's 1533-position model. The record is from RNAcentral.
AGAAUCAACGCUGGCGGCGUGCCUAACACAUGCAAGUCGCACGAGAAAGGGACUUCGGUCCUGAGUAAAGUGGCGCACGGGUGAGUAACACGUGAAUCAUCUACCUCCGAGUGGGGAAUAACCUAGAGAAAUCUGGGCUAAUACCGCAUAACACUUACGAGUCAAAGCAGCAAUGCGCUUGGAGAGGAGUUCGCGGCAGAUUAGUUAGUUGGCGGGUAAUGGCCCACCAAGACGAUGAUCUGUA